GCCGCUCACGCCCGGUCGUACUC
This 23-nucleotide small nuclear RNA is filed under the name Arabidopsis thaliana (thale cress). Its description in RNAcentral is "snRNA_19210". Lineage: Eukaryota; Viridiplantae; Streptophyta; Magnoliopsida; Brassicales; Brassicaceae. The record is from RNAcentral.